Long non-coding RNA from Eurytemora carolleeae, 261 nucleotides. RefSeq lists it as uncharacterized. The transcript is spliced from 3 exons. NCBI's taxonomy places the organism in Eukaryota, Metazoa, Arthropoda, Copepoda, Calanoida, Temoridae. The record is from RefSeq and is a predicted model, not a curated record.
AGGAUGGGCAGUGCACACUGGGUCAAACAAUUGGUCUACGUAACAGCAUAGGUUACAAUUCUACUGAACAAUGGGAGAGGAAAAAACCAACUGGGUGUAUCCCAAAACAUUGUUUCGAACCUGGAUAUACUACACUAGGAAUGGAUCAAGAUUUUAAAUUAAUAAUUUUUGCAGAAAAUUGGACAUUUUAAAUUUUUAACCAAGCUGCAUUGGAAUCAAAUAUUUAAACAAAAAAUACACAGUGUGAUUAAAAAACAGGGA